AGAGCACGCCUACGGGAAGCAGCAGUGGGGAAUAUUGCACAAUGGGGGAAACCCUGAUGCAGCGACGCCGCGUGAGCGAUGAAGUAUUUCGGUAUGUAAAGCUCUAUCAGCAGGGAAGAAAAUGACGGUACCUGACUAAGAAGCCCCGGCUAACUACGUGCC
RNAcentral lists this ribosomal RNA (162 nucleotides) under uncultured bacterium. Its description in RNAcentral is "partial 16S ribosomal RNA". It matches the Rfam family "Bacterial small subunit ribosomal RNA", at positions 330 to 509 of the family's 1533-position model. The record is from RNAcentral.